Long non-coding RNA from Passer domesticus (house sparrow), 3400 nucleotides. RefSeq lists it as uncharacterized. Lineage: Eukaryota; Metazoa; Chordata; Aves; Passeriformes; Passeridae. The transcript has 4 exons. The record is from RefSeq and is a predicted model, not a curated record.
AGCCCGUCGGGGCGGCACCGCCGAGGUACGGGGCUCUCCCGGCCCGGCAAGGGGAGCUGAGGAGAGGAGAGGCAAGGAUGGACGGGAUUUCUGCAGUGCUGAAGGUUCGCGUGUUUGGUUAGCCAGGGAUCCUGAAGUUCCUCCAAAAACGGGCAGAGGCACUCAGGCUGUGCGGAGUCACCGUGUUCCUAGUACAGAAUUAUCAGAAGGACAGAAAAGCUGUGCUCCUGCUGUAGAAACUUGGUUUUCCUGCUUCUGAACCAAAGUUAAAGGGGUGGGAAUCCUGAGGAGCUUUUUUGCACGGUGAGGUUCUGAAAGUGUUCUUCAGGGCAAACACAGUUCUGCACAAUGGUACAAAAGCUUCCACGGGAGUCUCCUGUUAUUUCAGACCUUCUACUGUGGCAUUUGGAAAACCUGAAGACAGUCUGGUUCCAUGGAUGGAAAAAUGGGGAAAAUGUGAGAAAGGGGAACUUAGAUAAUUUGGAAUAAAUAACCCAAAUCUGGGAUAGUAGAAGGAAAAUCAAAUAAACAAAGAAAAACACACCAAAAAACCCCAAACCAACUAAACAAAUUUUCUACAAAAAUACAACGAACUGAUCAAGGAAAGGAACAGAAAAAACAAACCCUGAACUUCCUCCGAAAUCAAGUUGUUGAGGUGCUUGAACAAGAUUAGAGAGCAGCAUAAAAGCAGGUAUUUUAUAGAAGCGAUCUAUCAAAGAAUGAACAGGAAUGAAGAAGAAAAUGCUUUAAACUUGAAGGAGAAACAAUUUUUUCAGAAACCUGAGGAUGUUUCUUCACCUAUGCAGAACUAGUGAGCGUCUUCAGUCAGAACACUGUGGGCAAAUAUGCAUGGAGCAUUCUUCAGUGCAGUGAAAAUGGAGUGUAGAGAGUAUUAAAGUGUUUAACACAAUCAUUUCCAGGGAUUUAUACAGCAUUUAGUCUUUUAUGAAAUGACAGACUGAUAAAACUACUUCUGACAAGAGUGCUUCAUGUACAUUGGUAACUCUCGGGGAUGUAAUUGCAAGGGUGCAAUCCUGCUUAUUCUUGGGGAAAAAGAAAAUCUGUUUUACUUGGAGGGAAUAGGAUUACAUUUCCACAGAGCCAAGAGUAGCUGGUGUGUGCUAAAUGAACCUGCAACACAGCAUAACGGUGAAAGAAAACAGUUCAUAGAACAUCAAAGAACACUGAAGUCAUUGUUCAAGUUUUAUUUGUUCCUACAUCAGUUUUCAGUAGAAAAACUUUCACUUCUCUCUGCUCUGAAUGCACCGUCAGCUUUCUGCAAGUCUUGUGAGUAAAUAAAGCUCAUUUGCCUCGGAACUCCUUUGCAGAGGAAGUUUUCAUCCUGGCUUAAGGCCGGAUGUUAUCAGGUGAGGAGCAGCCUCCAGUUCUUUACAGGUAAGAGUGUGCCUGCUCAGACAUGCAGAAGCCUUCAAGUUAAAACCCACAACGCUUGAUAUCUCACUGCUGUAAUGCUGGAGGAAAACUGAAGGGAGCUGUAAAUAAUGUGAAAAUGUGGGACUGUUUGUAUGUUUUUAUAUCUGUGUGUGAAUUAGGGAUUUUGGCUGGAGGGUGCUGUACAGCAGUGCUUGCUGCAGUGGAAUUAGGAGCUCACCCAGGGACGAUUGAGAAGUUCCAGGGGGUGUGUGGGUGCAGCUUUAUUCUGCAGUAGUUUGAAAAAGCUCAUUUUUAACUGGAGAGAAGCUUUGCUCACAGCAGCAAUCAGAAGCAACAGGAAAGCUUCACCUGAGGUGCUGCUCAGCCACUUCCUUCCCCUCCCUUCCUCUCACCUCUCUUGGUUGUUUGGAGCAGUUAUUCUUCCGUGCUCCCCCUUGGCCUCCUCUACACCCUGUGUUCUCACUAUUUUGUGCUGUUUAUUCAUUUGCCUCACUGAGAUGAUCAAAAGCAGAACAGGAAUUACUGCAACAUUCAACUUCCCCAGAAAAUCAGCUGCAGGGGAUGGAAAGGGGCUUAGGGGUGUUCCAGCAGGAGCUCUGCUGUGGUGCUUGUAGAAGGGGUAGUGUGUGAAGACGUAUGGAGAGAGUUUGGGUGAAGAAAAAGGAGUUCAGUGUUGUGCAGUGUGGGAAGGAUCUUCCCUGGGACACUGCUCAGGUGCGCAGGCAGCAGCUCUGAUAUCACAGAAGGCAGGCUUGGAGUUUUGACAGGCAAGGCACUGGGAAACUCUCUUGGAGCCCUCCUGAUGUUCCCCUGCCCAGCUCAGGGAAUGUUCAGCAGCCAGAGCAGUGCUGGUGCUGGUGUGCAGUGGAAUGGGGUUCCAGAGCCCUGGUGACCCUGGGGCUUUGUGACAGAGCUGAAGGAGCUGCUGUAACACAAGUGACAUUCAAGGUCAACCUUUUGGCAUUUGUUUCAUUUAAAAGAGAAAAGUGUGAGCAAUUCUUCUCCCCAAGUUAUUCUAGUGGAAAAGCAUUGCUGCUUUAAAGAUUAAGUUCCUCACACUGGAUAUCCAUGGAUAUUUUCCUCCAGGAUCAUUUUCCUUUGUAGCGAGAGCAAGUUAUUUAGCCAUUAUCAGUAAACAGUGCAUCUUAGAAAACUUGAUGCUUUUCCUGACACUUUAAUCUCUUUUUACAUCCCAGAAAGCAAAUAGCGUCAUGAUUUUUCCCGAAGUCUUACUGAGAUUUAUUUUAAACCCACACAACCAAGCCUUGUAAACAGGUGUUAAGUCCUUUGGUGAUGACUCUAAAGCAAUGUUAAUUUUUUUUUCUGUCAAAUUGCUUUUCAUCUUACACUAGGAUUAUAUGACUUUCUGUGCCUCAUAUAGGAUUAAAUUUUUAACUGUCAGAAAGUUUUUUUUGAAAUGAUUUGCACUUUUUGUAGUCAGAGUCCACUUGUUCAUUAGGUGAAGACCAUGUCCCUAACAACAGGCUGGUGCAGGACCCAUCAUGAACUGCAGAUUUUGAAGUGGCUAAUUGUAGUCAUGGACUGCUUGAGACAGUCUCUUAAGGCAUGAAAAUAUUCAAUAGCAUUGGGCUUUUGUCUUCAUUUCAGUGUCUGUUCUAUAAGCUUGCUGAGCAUGACUUAAAAUAUUAAAAAAUGACAAGAAAAUGAACAGCUCCAGCAGUUAGUCAAAUGAUGGGAAAACAGCAGUUCCAGUGAAAGCAUGAAAUAUUUUCUGUGGCAUCAGAGCCUGGAAAGGCUGGUGCCUGUUUGCUGCUGUGUGGAACAGCCAGAGGCGUCUGUGCUGCUGCUGAGAUGGAGACCUCUGCAGCCUCUUGGCUGGCUGCAUUUCAUUAACUUUUAUAAACCUCUUGCCUUCGAUAACAGCCAGUGAAACUCCGGCACGAUGUCUCCCUCUAGGCCCCAGACAGCUCCAGCUCGCACUAACUCAGCGCUGGAGUUGAAUGAAAGACAGAUUAUUCCGUCACCUGUCAGCAGCUGCGGCAGU